RNAcentral lists this ribosomal RNA (243 nucleotides) under Corynebacterium sp. HMSC071B10. RNAcentral describes it as "partial 16S ribosomal RNA". It matches the Rfam family "Bacterial small subunit ribosomal RNA", at positions 196 to 441 of the family's 1533-position model. The record is from RNAcentral. Lineage: Bacteria; Bacillati; Actinomycetota; Actinomycetes; Mycobacteriales; Corynebacteriaceae.
GUUGUGGAAAGCUUUUGCGGUAUGGGAUGAGCUCGCGGCCUAUCAGCUUGUUGGUGGGGUAAUGGCCUACCAAGGCGUCGACGGGUAGCCGGCCUGAGAGGGUGUACGGCCACAUUGGGACUGAGAUACGGCCCAGACUCCUACGGGAGGCAGCAGUGGGGAAUAUUGCACAAUGGGCGCAAGCCUGAUGCAGCGACGCCGCGUGGGGGAUGACGGCCUUCGGGUUGUAAACUCCUUUCGCAA